AUUACGAAUUUAUUGUGUUGGUUGUAAUUUUAAAUAAAGACAUAAUAAACCUUAAACAUUAAAACAAAGCGUAUCUGGCACCCAGAUCCGUUUCCUACCCCGUUUGAGAAGCCCUACAGUCAAGGCCGGCUGGAGGACAGAGUGGUCACCAGGGGGCGCAGUUGUCCGUCGCCCAGGGAGCCGAUUUGUGGGGAUCAGGGUUGCGAGCCGAAGGAAGUCUUUUUCUUGACCUAAGUCCGGCACAGGGCCGAGGGGAGCCCUGAGGGUUAUUCCGCCAGGGGCCACACGGCCAGGCGCGCCGAGGCCGUCCCGAACGGGGGCCAUGGCUGCUGGGCCCUGAUGGGACAACUUUCCACGUCGCGCAGGCUGCUCAGAGCAGAGGCCUCCUCCGGCGGAGGCGGAGGGAGCCGCGGUGGACAGUCCGCCCGCCCGCCUCUCUGGUAGCGCCGAGGGGUGGCGAGGGGAAGUGCUUUCCGCAAACAGGACCAAGGGAGACGAGCCGCCCGAGCGCGGGUGAGCGCCGCCGCAUCGGCUGUGGGACGUAGUGACGGCGACUUCCGGGGAGAGGGGCUGCACUUCCGGCCGCGCUCUAGUCUGACCCGAGCGUUCCCGCCCUCGGAGCCAGAGAGUGGCCUGAGGCGGGGAGAAGGCCUGGCUGUACUGUACCGCCUUUUUCUGGUGUGAUCCGAAUGAAAUAUCCGGAGCCCAGGACAGUGGCUGUACCUGGCCGGAGGAGGGCAGCGAAGAGCCUGCAAAUUAGGGGAGACUUCUUUAGAGAAGGAGUACAGGAAGAAGUGGAAAAGUCUGGCUAUGAAACUAGGGACCCCAUGUCUGUAUCAGUAGCAACUCUGAGGACCCUGAACAACAGCAGGACUAGUCUAUGUAGGAGAGCAGAGGAAGAUGGAAUCCAGAAAGUGGCAAUGGUAGGUAAUCUGUAAUCUGAUAUUUUAAUGACUAGAAGACCUAAGUCUUGCAGAUGCAUAUCAAUAUGGAAGGUAGUCGCUAGUGCUCUGCUCUUGGACUAUUUUCUUGGCAAUGUGAUUGUCAUAUUUUAUCAAUAACUUAAAUAAAAUGUGGACAGAUGGCAAAUAUCACUAGAUAUUCAAGGAGAUUUUAGCAUAUUACAUCAAUAGUUCAAACCUAAUAAAAUGAAUCUUAUUGAAAUAAAAGUAAAAUUCUGACUUUGGCUUUAAAUUUAACCUCACAAGGGUAAGACAGGAGACAUGAAAAAAAGAAGCAAUCUUGUGGCAGUGGCAGUGAUGUUGCAGCCCAAAAGAUGAUGUUGUAGGCUACAUCAAAAGUGCACACAAGCUAGAACAAAGUAAGUGGUGGUGUUCUUCACUCAGCAUUUAUCAGAUUGUUUCUGUAGCUCUUUGUUCUGUUCUGAUGAUCACCUUUCAGUAACAAUAUGGACAACUUGGUAUGUGUUCUGAGUAAAGUAGGUGAGAUGAUUGGCUGAAUGUUUGGUAAAGAACCAAAUGAGAUGGAUAUAUCAUGGGGAAUGGAUGGACGAUACAAUAUUUUGUCUCCAAUUAAGUGAGUGGCUGUUAUAUAGACAAAGGAUUAUACUCAGCCUAUAUUAUUCCCAAGACAGGGAGAACUCAAGAUAAAUCAGUGAAACCAGAUGAAUGUACAUUUUAGAUUUGUACAGAGAAGGA
This 1658-nucleotide long non-coding RNA is filed under the name Fukomys damarensis (Damara mole-rat). RNAcentral describes it as "lncRNA (ENSFDAG00000031277.1)". Lineage: Eukaryota; Metazoa; Chordata; Mammalia; Rodentia; Bathyergidae. The record is from RNAcentral.